GUCGAACGCAUCAUUUAGCUUUUUCGAAUGAUGAGUGGCGAAAGGGUGAGUAACGCGUGGGCAACCUGCCCUGAGGUGGGGGAUAACCUGUCGAAAGACGGGCUAAUACCGCUUAAGUAUUCAAGCUGAGAUGCUUGAAUGCAAAGAUGGGGAUCUCUUCGGAGACCUGUCGCCUUUGGAUGGGCCCGCGUCCUAUCAGCUAGUUGGUGAGGUAAUGGCUCACCAAGGCUAAGACGGGUAGCUGGUCUGAGAGGAUGGUCAGCCACACUGGGACUGAGACACUGCCCAGACACCUACGGGUGGCUGCAGUCGAGAAUCUUCCGCAAUGGGGGCAACCCUGACGGAGCGACGCCGCGUGUAGGAUGAAGGUCUUCGGAUUGUAAACUACUGUCAGCAGGGAAGAAUAGGUGCUUGGUUAAUAACCAGGCAUUUUGACGGUACCUGCAGAGGAAGCCACGGCUAACUUCGUGCCAGCAGCCGCGGUAAUACGAAGGUGGCUAGCGUUGUUCGGAUUUAUUGGGCGUAAAGGGUCCGCAGGCGGUUUGAUAAGUCAGGUGUGAAAUCCCACAGCUUAACUGUGGACACGCACUCGAUACUGUCAGACUAGAGUAUGAGAGGGGUAAGAGGAAUUUCCAGUGUAGGGGUGAAAUCCGUAGAUAUUGGAAAGAACACCGGCCGCGAAGGCGUUUUACUGGCUCAUUACUGACGCUCAGGGACGAAAGCUAGGGGAGCAAACGGGAUUAGAUACCCCGGUAGUCCUAGCUGUAAACGAUGAUCACUAGGUAUUGGGAGGGUUAAACCUCUCGGUGCCGCAGCUUACGCAUUAAGUGAUCCGCC
This 837-nucleotide ribosomal RNA is filed under the name uncultured Bacillota bacterium. RNAcentral describes it as "bacterial SSU rRNA". It matches the Rfam family "Bacterial small subunit ribosomal RNA", at positions 61 to 873 of the family's 1533-position model. Lineage: Bacteria; Bacillati; Bacillota. The record is from RNAcentral.